GCCUCCCGUCAGAGAGGGGCAUGCGCAGUGGGUGCCUCCCGUCUCUUCUACCCGAACCCCCCCUCCCCCCCCCAGCAGAGAGACCCCAGCAGCAGCAGCAGCUGAUGAUGAAGAGAGAGGCAGUGGCAGAGGGGGGGCACCUUUUAUUUCUAUUUUUAAAGGGACAGGACACUAAUUUUACCCCACUUCAACCUUGAAUUGAGGGGGGUGGGGGGAAGGCGGCUGAGUUCCUUCCCCCACCCUCCAGCCCUGAGACCUGAGAGGGGGAUUGAGCCUGAGAGAGAAGGAGAAGGAGUUUCUUCUUCUUCGAAAACCCCCAUCCACGACUCCUACCCCCUCACCCCUCCACAAGCCUCCCUCCCGAGCCCCCUCCAUCCUCCUCCUCUUUGGCCGUGAGAGGAGAGAAAGAGACCAAAAGCCUCUUAGCAACACAGACCCUUCCUUCUCUGCUGCUGUUGCUGCUGCUGCUGCUGUUGCUGCUGCUGCUACUGCUGCUGCUGCUUGGCCCUGGCUGGAGACAUCUCACUACACCCAGGAGCAGCCACUUCCCCAGCUCUCCUCCUCCUUCGCCUCCUCCUCCACUCCCCCCCCCCCCCUUUAUUACCCUUUGUGUCAUCCUCCACAGCUCCAGGGAAGGCACUCAAAAGUGGGGGGCAGGAAAGACAAUUAUCAACUUUCCAGUUUUCUAUGGAUUUGAAGAUUUAUCCCUAGUCAUCAGUGGGACCCCAGGAAGUCAGCCAGAAGGCCCUAUGUCCAACUUAUGUACUUUUGCAAACUUGUCUGUAUUUUGAAUAAUAAUAUUGAUUCACAGUUUUAAAAAAGGAGGGGAUCCCCUGCUGGUACAGCAUCUUGUGAAGGAGUUUGUGCUGAAGGAUUUCUUGGCCAUUUUAGAGACUGUAAUCUAGUUAAAAGCUUUCUACUUGUCUGUCUGUCAAAGUAUAUUACGAAGAUCCCUAGUUCUGUGACAAGUUAAUAGGGACAACCUCUACAGCUUCAGAGACAUGCCUAGAUUUGAACACGGGCUCAAUAUACUGAUUACUGUAGUAUUCAACCUUUGAUGCUUAUUGAGAAUAUCAGUUUCUACGUGUGGGAAGUAGAUAUUGAAGGUUAUACGGUUUACAGACAAGAUCUUUAGACACUCAAGGUAAACAUUCACUAGACCCUGCCUUCCUUAUAUCUGUAACUAAAGUGCAUCCUUUCUGAGAAGAGAGUCUCCCUUCUGUUUUUACCACCGUGAACUGAGUUCAUUUUUUCUAGAUUAUAAAGUAGCAGCUUCUUUACAUCUGUGAGCAGCUUACUUUACAUCUAUUAAAGAAGUUAACAGACUGAACUUUAACAAUCUGUUUACUUGUCAGUUUUCUAGCUACUGGCCUGUAAGCUCCUUGAAAACAAAAACUAUCAUUUAUCGCUUGGCUUUUUUCUACAAGACUGGCAAAGAGU
Long non-coding RNA from Hippopotamus amphibius kiboko, 1440 nucleotides. RefSeq lists it as uncharacterized. The transcript has 8 exons. The record is from RefSeq and is a predicted model, not a curated record. NCBI's taxonomy places the organism in Eukaryota, Metazoa, Chordata, Mammalia, Artiodactyla, Hippopotamidae.